Aphidius gifuensis is the source of this 2623-nucleotide RNA transcript. It is a transcript of the gene named popeye domain-containing protein 3-like, with no coding region annotated. The record is from RefSeq and is a predicted model, not a curated record. NCBI's taxonomy places the organism in Eukaryota, Metazoa, Arthropoda, Insecta, Hymenoptera, Braconidae. The transcript has 8 exons.
AAAAAAAAAAAAAAACUUUAAGGGUGGUAUGAUUAUCGUUCACCCUUAAAGUGCAAAUAAUAAUAAAAAAUAAAAAUUUACAUUUUAUAAUAUUAGUGUUGCAAAAUUGACACAAGUUGUUGAUAGUUGAAUUUUUUUUUUUUUUCAUUUACAUAGAUAUUGUUUUAAUAAUUUUUGUGUCAGUCAUUAUACCACCUGAAAUUUUUGCAACGUAUUCAAACAAAAAAAAAAAACACAUACCUACGCUAUUUUAUUCUCCGGAAAAUCAUUAAAUAUUAUUUGUUAAAUGUAAAUUUGCAAUAAAUAUUAAUGGUGAAAAUAUAUAGCAUACAAAAAGUGUAGUGACAGCAAGAAAAAAAAAAAAAUAUUCUCCAUGGAGAUUGAAAAAUAUAUUCAAAACAAAUAAUAGUGACAAUGAUAAAUCGAGAAUAUUGCAAAUCAUCAAACACCAAGGUCUUGUAUUUACUGUCAACAAAAUCAACAAUAAAUAAACAGUAAAUAUUAAAAUAUAAAAAUUAAAAAAUAAAAAUAACAAAAUAUUAUAAUUGUGUUAUUAAUUAAAGAGACAAUAUUAUCAUUAAUCAUUGGUGAUUAAUAAUAAACAAAAAAAAAAAAAAUAAAAAAAGGUGUAAAUCGAAUGGUGAUGCGGGGAUGUGGAUUCGUUUUGAUCCACUUGGAUGGCGAGAAGGCUGUCGUAAUUGUCAUUCAGCACUAGUUAUAAUAUUUUGGUGUUCAUUAAUAUAUAUAACUGAUGCCGCAAAUAUACCUGAAAAUACCGGUACAUCGAAAAACAUUUUGCCGGCAUCGAAUAAUGAUUAUAAAUGUAACAAUGUAACAAGCAAACAAUCCAACGAUUUUGAUACAGGUUUAUCAAUCGUUAGUAAUGAAUUUGCUUAUCCACUUUCACCAAUAGUGCCUCCAAAUAUAUUUAAAGAAUUUUUAACAUGCAAAAAUUUCUAUCAUGCAUUAAAUGUUAAUCAUAUAUAUUUUCAAUUGGCAAAUAUAUUUUUUCUUUUAUCACAUUUAGCACCAAAUAGUAUACAUGGUGUAUUAUAUUUACGAUGUACAUUACUUAUUGGUUGUUCAUUUUUAUCAUUAUGGGGAUGGACAAUUGCAUGUUGGAUUGAUAUUGCAAUAUGGAAUUGUUUAUUUGUUGCUAUUAAUUUUAUUUAUGUAUGCACAUUGUUAUAUCGUUUACGACGUAUUAAAUUUACAAAAGAAGUUGAACAAGUUUAUAUUGCUGUAUUUAAACCAUUACGUGUUACAAGACAUCAAUUUAAAAAAGUACUUAAUUGUAUGAAAGCAAUACGACAAUUAAAAUAUCAAGAAGUAUAUGCACAAGAAAAAGUUACUAAAGUUGAUUCAUUAUCAUUGGUAUUAUCUGGAAAAUUAGUAGUAUCACAAAAUGGUCGUGCAUUACAUAUUGUCUUCCCAAAUCAAUUUCUUGAUUCACCAGAAUGGUUUGGUGUAUCAACAGAUGAAUAUUUUCAAGUAUCAAUAACAGCAAUGGAGGAAUCUAGAAUAUUACUUUGGCACAGAGAUAAACUUAAAUUGAGUAUUAUUGGUGAUCAAUUUUUACAAGCUAUAUUUGAUCAUAUACUAGGUAGAGAUGUUGUUAAAAAAUUAUUACAGGUAAGUGAAACAAUGUCAGCAAGUGGUCAUAUACAACAGAAUGGUCAAAUUGUUAGUUUGGGUCUCAGUGGAGGUGGCAAUAUGGAUACUGAUCCUGAAAAAAAGCUAUUUGUUGUUAAAAAAACUGGUGAUAGUCAUGGAAUAACUGCUCUUAUUAGUCGUCAACUUCAAGAGGAAAGAGUGCCGCUGCUGUAUACGAGUCCUGAUGUGUUGAACAACGCACUGCAUCACCUUAAUCACCUUCAUGCGCCUCAUGUACUUCCUUUAAAUCCUGGAAAGGCAUCCAACUCUGAAUCCUUGCAUUCAAGUAACAUCGUAUCCUAAAUAAUCAACGUUUAAAUAAUUUACAUGUACAAUUUAUCCUCAAUGUGUACAUUAAAAUUACAAAACAAAACAAAUUAUUGAUGUGUGUUAAACAAAAUCGAAAUUAAACAAAACAAAAUUAUAAUAAAAAGUAAAUAACGUACGUGCCAUAAGAAAAUGGAUAAAUCAUUCUAUUUUUUCUUCCUCAGUCUAAAGCUGGUGGUGAUCCAAAUGCCUGGCGCUUGGGAAGAAUUGAAGAGACUGAUCAUGAAACACCUGUUUAAUACUCGGCCCACCAGUUUGAUCAACAUCCAAUUUGAGUAAAUUAAUUUUUAAUAAAUAUUUAACAUAUUGCUGCUACUGCUCAACAUUGAUGGAUGAUUAACAAUAUUUUCAAAAACUAUUGAUUAAUAUUUUCUCGUUAAAAUCAUCAACAUCAUCAUCAUCAUAACGAAAAAAAAAUUGUCAAGUAUGUACAAGUGUUUUGAGACGUAUUCAUUUUGCCAUAAGUCAUAAAACAAUCAUCGUAUCAAUUGAAUUUCUUUUUGUUUUUUUUUUUUAUAAUUAAUUUUGUUGUCUUUUUCAAUUGUUUGGAUAUUUAUUUAUAAAAUAUUCUACUUAAUGCUUCCAAUGUUUAUUCAUGUAUAUAAAUAUUUUUUUUUUAUAUGUAAUUUAUUUUUUUUUUUGG